AUAGAGAUAUGGUACUAUUUGAAAAGAUAUUGUCAAAUUAGAUAAAAAUGGUGCCAAGAGACACUAUGUAUAUAAAUCACUGUAAACAAUCACGAUAUCAGUCCAUUCUAUUCGCAAGCUUAUCAAUGUUAAACAAGUCCCGUAUAUGCUCGUGAUAAUCUGAGAGCUGCUUGUUCAGAGUAUUCAUUCCUAAAAAGUUUUAUCGCAAAAGAAAGAUGGGCAUCAUUUCACCUCUUGUUAAACAACAACAAGCUAUUAAUCACAAUAACAAAAAAAAAUGUAUCAUGUGGUAGCUCUUCGCGAGAGAGUUCUUCUAUAAAAUAAUUUCUACCGUUAGACUGAGUUCAGUUUGUCUAGAAAUCUUCAGGACUAAACAUGUUCAAGGUAGUGUUUUUGCUAUUAGGCGUCGGUUGUCUGGCUGCUCUUGGCCAGCAUCUUGAUAGAAAGGAAUAUGUGGUUUUCCAUGAAGAGGUAAAUUGGAUUGGUGCGAUUGAGUUCUGCCACCGAUUGAGAAUGAAACCGGCUGUCAUAAACAAUCAUGAGGAGCAACAACAAAUUGAAAUAGCUAUUACGUUCAACCAAAGACCGAAUCCCGACCCUCAUUUCGGAGAGUCAUCAAUUUACUGGAUUGGUGGCAGUAAUCUUUCUAACAAGCAUGAAUUCUUUUGGGAACCAACUGGAGAGCGAUUCACCUACUCGAAAUGGGAUAUAAAUGAACCAAAUAUGGAAUUCAACUGUGCUGUCAUCAAAUACUCUAGUUCGACACAAGAAACAGGACAAUGGUUAUCAUUUGAAUGCGAUAAACCCCUGCAAAGCUUUGUUUGUGAAGUUUCGUACGAAUAAGGCAACUUAUUGGUGAAAGUAAUAGUGACGACUGGAUGUAUACCAGCGAUAGUAGAAUUAUAAUUUCAUUAAAAUUGCAAUAAAAUAUGAGUUUUUCUGUGCAAA
Culex pipiens pallens (northern house mosquito) is the source of this 948-nucleotide long non-coding RNA. RefSeq lists it as uncharacterized. The record is from RefSeq and is a predicted model, not a curated record. NCBI's taxonomy places the organism in Eukaryota, Metazoa, Arthropoda, Insecta, Diptera, Culicidae. The transcript has 2 exons.